This 460-nucleotide ribosomal RNA is filed under the name uncultured bacterium. Its description in RNAcentral is "partial 16S ribosomal RNA". It matches the Rfam family "Bacterial small subunit ribosomal RNA", at positions 338 to 795 of the family's 1533-position model. The record is from RNAcentral.
CCUACGGGUGGCAGCAGUGAGGAAUAUUGGUCAAUGGACGAGAGUCUGAACCAGCCAAGUAGCGUGAAGGAUGAAUGCCCUAUGGGUUGUACACUUCAUUUAUAAGGGAAUAAAAUGUUCCACGUGUGGGAUUUUGUAUGUACCAUAUGAAUAAGGAUCGGCUAACUCCGUGCAAGCAGCCGCGGUAAUACGGAGGAUCAGAGCGUGAUCCGGAUUUAUUGGGUUUAAAGGGCGCGGAGGUGGAUUGUUAAGGCAGUUGUGAAAUUUUGCGGCUAAACCGUAAAAUUGCAGUUGAAACUGGGAGGUUUGAGUACAGUAGAGGUGGGCGGAAUUCGUGGUGUAGCGGUGAAAUGCUUAGAUAUCACGAAGAACUCCGAUUGCGAAGGCAGCUCACUGGACUGCAACUGACACUGAGGCUCGAAAGUGUGGGUAUCAAACAGGAUUAGAUACCCCAGUAGUC